Molecule: ribosomal RNA, 839 nt
Filed under: Hyaloscypha albohyalina
Lineage: Eukaryota; Fungi; Ascomycota; Leotiomycetes; Helotiales; Hyaloscyphaceae
Description: eukaryotic LSU rRNA
Rfam family: Eukaryotic large subunit ribosomal RNA
Source: RNAcentral
CGGCGAGUGAAGCGGCAACAGCUCAAAUUUGAAAUCUGGCUCCUGCGGGGCCCGAGUUGUAAUUUGUAGAAGAUGCUUUGAGCGUGGCUCCGGUCUAAGUUCCUUGGAACAGGACGUCAUAGAGGGUGAGAAUCCCGUAUGUGACUGGGUGCCUCCGUUCGUGUAAAGCUCUUUCGACGAGUCGAGUUGUUUGGGAAUGCAGCUCAAAAUGGGUGGUAAAUUUCAUCUAAAGCUAAAUAUURGCCAGAGACCGAUAGCGCACAAGUAGAGUGAUCGAAAGAUGAAAAGCACUUUGGAAAGAGAGUUAAACAGUACGUGAAAUUGUUGAAAGGGAAGCGCUUGCAACCAGACUUGCCCGCUGCUGAUCAUCCGAGGUUCUCCCCGGUGCACUCGGCAGCGAUCAGGCCAGCAUCGGUUCUGGUGGGCGGAUAAAGGCCUUGGGAAUGUAGCUUCCUUCGGGGAGUGUUAUAGCCCUCGGUGCAAUGCGCCCUACCGGGACCGAGGACCGCGCUUCGGCUAGGAUGCUGGCGUAAUGGUUGUAAGCGACCCGUCUUGAAACACGGACCAAGGAGUCUAACAUCUAUGCGAGUGUUUGGGUGUCAAACCCAUACGCGUAAUGAAAGUGAACGGAGGUGAGAACCCUUAAGGGUGCAUCAUCGACCGAUCCUGAUGUCUUCGGAUGGAUUUGAGUAAGAGCAUAGCUGUUGGGACCCGAAAGAUGGUGAACUAUGCCUGAAUAGGGUGAAGCCAGAGGAAACUCUGGUGGAGGCUCGCAGCGGUUCUGACGUGCAAAUCGAUCGUCAAAUUUGGGUAUAGGGGCGAAAGACUAAUCGAACCAU